UCUUUCUGGCAACACGACCAUGCAGCUAAUUUUGGUAGACUGUUAUUAUAGAUACUGUAUAUGUGGUGUAUAUGUGGUAGACUGUAAUAAUAGAUACUACUGUAUAUAUGGUGUAUAUGUGGUAGACUGUAAUAAUAGAUACUGUAUAUAUGGUGUAUAUGUGGUAGACUGUAAUAAUAGAUACUGUAUAUGUGGUGUAUAUGUGGUAGACUGUAAUAAUAGAUGCUACUGUAUAUAUGGUGUAUAUGUGGUAGACUGUAAUAUUAGAUACUGUAUAUGUGGUGUAUAUGUAGUAGAGUGGCUACUUCUGGUAUCAGUGUGGACUGGUACUUCAUGUAUCAGUGUGGACUGGUACUUCAUGUAUCAGUGUGGACUGGUACUUCAUGUAUCAGUGUGGACUGGUACUUCAGGUAUCAGUGUGGACUGGUACUUCAUGUAUCAGUGUGGACUGGUACUUCAUGUAUCAG
Esox lucius (northern pike) is the source of this 467-nucleotide long non-coding RNA. The record is from Ensembl. Lineage: Eukaryota; Metazoa; Chordata; Actinopteri; Esociformes; Esocidae.